CGAAAGCCUGACGGAGCAACGCCGCGUGGGGGAAGAAGGUUCUUGGAUUGUAAACCCCUUUUCUCAGGGAAGAAGUUCUGACGGUACCUGAGGAAUCAGCCUCGGCUAACUCCGUGCCAGCAGCCGCGGUAAUACGGAGGAGGCAAGCGUUAUUCGGAAUUAUUGGGCGUAAAGCGUCCGCAGGGGGCUCAUCAAGUCUGCUGUCAAAGGUCGGAGCUCAACUCCGGUUCGGCAGUGGAAACUGGUGGGCUAGAGGGCGACAGGGGUAGAGGGAAUUCCCAGUGUAGCGGUGAAAUGCGUAGAUAUUGGGAAGAACACCGGUGGCGAAAGCGCUUUGCUGGACCGAACCUGACGCUGAGGGACGAAAGCUAGGGGAGCG
This 379-nucleotide ribosomal RNA is filed under the name uncultured cyanobacterium. RNAcentral's name for it is "bacterial SSU rRNA". It matches the Rfam family "Bacterial small subunit ribosomal RNA", at positions 376 to 770 of the family's 1533-position model. The record is from RNAcentral. Lineage: Bacteria; Bacillati; Cyanobacteriota.